AUGCAAAUAUACUGGAUGAUAAAGGAAUAUAAGAGGAAAACCAGUACAAAUAGGUUUUAACCCAGGAUACAGGGAGGUGCACCUUAAACGGUGUUUUUUUGUUUGUUUUUUUUGUUUUUGUGUUUUUGUUUUUGGGGUGGGUUUUUUUUUAUGUUCCUCGCGAUGAGGGGAAUUGGUUCAAAGGAACCGAAUUAAUAAAUGAAUAAAUAAAUAA
This 214-nucleotide non-coding RNA is filed under the name Lotharella globosa. Lineage: Eukaryota; Cercozoa; Chlorarachniophyceae. The record is from RNAcentral.